CCUUGUUAACCACUCACAAUCUCUAUACACACUUCACCACACUCAGAAUAUUCCACACAUAUCAUAAAGAGAUAUGCUAGAGUAUGAACCAAAGCAUGGAUCCACAUACAUAAAGUACCAUGGUGACUCAGGUUUAAGGAUCACUUGCACCACUCUCACUGGAGAACCAUCUUUUGACAUGUUAAUAAGGCUCUAUCAGAUGUUCUCUUUAUGGAUCAAUUCAGUAAACUCAUUCUUCAAUGAGCACCUACAUCUCUAUAUUAUUGUCACCACAU
RNAcentral lists this long non-coding RNA (275 nucleotides) under Elaeis guineensis (African oil palm). RNAcentral's name for it is "long non-coding RNA (EGUI_LNC043440)". The record is from RNAcentral. Lineage: Eukaryota; Viridiplantae; Streptophyta; Magnoliopsida; Arecales; Arecaceae.